Long non-coding RNA from Pipra filicauda (Wire-tailed manakin), 2576 nucleotides. RefSeq lists it as uncharacterized. The transcript is spliced from 3 exons. The record is from RefSeq and is a predicted model, not a curated record. NCBI's taxonomy places the organism in Eukaryota, Metazoa, Chordata, Aves, Passeriformes, Pipridae.
GGAUUAUUUGAUAAUUCGAAAUAGACAUUAGGAUACAUUUUUUUGGAGGCGUCUCACCCAUCUCCUUCCUUAUCUCUGUCUGCAUGCAUAAGAAGCAAGGGCAAGGAGGACUUGCAUCAGCAUUUGGGAAGAUGAGAGUGUGCCAGUUGUCUCCAUCAGAAGGCUCAUGGACAACAGAGACAAACUCUGCCCCUGAAGACUCCUCAGUUAUCAAAGCACAAGGACUACAGGGAAGUACUCAUCUUUUUCACAUAUGGACUCUUGGAAGGGAUGGUAAUGGUGGGAAUUCCAUGGGGGGGGGGGGAGGCAAGAAUAAAUGGAAGGCAUCCUCUGGUGGAGGAAGACAAACAGUGCAACUUAUAAAACUUCUAAAAGUUGUUAUCUCUAGGCAUUUCUCUGUUGCACUUUUUAUUUUGUAUAAGACAUACCUGGUACAGCAUUGUGCUGUUUAGGAGUGGGUCUGAUGGUUUAGAAGGGCAGCCCAAAUUGUAUAUGAACAGCUUGUUCCAAUGCUCAUGGAAACACAUUAGAAAAACAUUACACAGAAGCAAUAAUUUGAGAUCCCAAACACGUUUUUUCCCCAUUAACAAUAUUUUAAAAUGCAGAAGGCACUUCUGUGAAGCAUGAAGGAUGGUCAGGGGUAGCUAAUGAGGCUGAUAGGUACAAUUGCUGCAUGCUUGAUCUGCCUUGGAUCCUAAUGCUUAUUUGGACAUUCUUAUUAUUGUGUGGGUGUUAAGUCUGUCCAAGCUCAUAAUCGAUAGAUAUAUGGUCACUCAGAGGGUUUAUGUCUCUGUCUGGGAAAGCUGGAACAAAGUGAUCAGGAUAUAGUUUGUUAGGUUCAUACAGAAAAUUUCUCAUAGAAAAUCUGAGCAGACUAAUUGCUGGGCAUUAGCAUGGGAGUCAUAUGAGCUGUGAUAAUGAUUUGGAUAAUGAAACCCCCACCUCUGGCCAUCACUUUUUCACCUACGGGGUCAGUAAAGAAUUUAUUCAACCUUGAGUUGCAUUUUAUAAUUGGCUAUUUGUAUCUGGGAAGAUUUUGGUACUGCACAGUACCUUCAGAUAAUCAUUCACUGACUAUAAAAGGGACUAAAGUGCAUCAGAAGGAAAAAUGGUUGGGACCCACUGUUGGAAAAUAUAGAGUCAAAACCCCCAUAAUUUUCAGUCAUGGAUCUUUGAGCUCUAGAGGAAACAGUCUGAGCUGACAGCUUAGCAAUAGCUUAACAGAUUUAUAAAAACUGUAUAUCAAGCAAAUGAUAUCUUGGUGUUGCAUGCACAUACUGAACCGAGUAGGGUAGUGUUUUGCUAAAUGUAGUUUUGUUCUGGUGAUGUGACUCCUCAAUCUCACAAAAGGGUGGCAAUUUCCCACCUUUAAUUCUGCACUGGUUGUUGUGGAACAUCACACUAAUGAAAGUACCCCUAAUAACAGAUGCCAAGCAGUAGAGGACUCUUAACAGCCUGAAGGUUAACAGUGGAAUAUUAUUCAGUUAUUUGCUAAAACUUGAAUUCAACAUGAGAUGUGGCUACAAAUUCCCUCAUCCUGUGUUCAGAUGCCUAGUUGAGAACAGAAUUUGGGAGUCAAAUUUUCUGAAUUGUAGCACAUGCAGCAAGAGAACUGUUAGGAAGCAGCUCAUGCCUUAUAUUUCUCCAGAAGGCAAUUCAGCCUGCAUUUCUUUAUUAGCUGCAUAAAGAGCCCAGGGAAAGCACGAUUUUAGCUUAAGCUGUUUUUGAAAAGACUUUUAGACUCGGGUUUAGGCAUUCUGAGUUUAUUAUCCGAGGCACAUGGGCACAGGUGUCUGUCAGUGUCAGUGAGUUAAAAUGCUGCCCCCAGCAAAGAAUUUUGCAAACCUCCCCAGUGGGAGCUGUGGAUUACUUCCCAGGGAGACCCAGGCCCCUUCUCCAAGAAGAGCUCUUGUGCAGCUGACUGGAGCCUCUGAGCUGACGUGGGGUGCUCUUACCUGCCAUUUCACACCCACAGCAGUGCUAGUUCUCCAUUCCCAAAAGUACAGUCCUACAGCCAGGUGGAAGGUGGAAAAAAAGAUACUUAGAGCCAAGAGGUGACCAGGAAGAGUUUCUUUAAGUAUCCCUUGUCUUGCACCACCUGUUCAAACAGGGAGCUGCUUAGGACUUGGUUUUGGCUGGCUACCAGCCCAAAGAAUUACUGGAUUUUCACUAAAGCAUUUCAGUAGUUCUGGUUAGAUGUUUUAUCUGUAGGAAAAUUGCUUAAAAUACACCUAAGUUUUGAUCAUCUAGGUCUCAGAUGUGACCCCAAAUCUCCUGCUCUCUGGUUGCCUCUAAUGACAUGACUUUUACGUGGAUAUUCUUCAGGUAUCAGCUCUGCUCGUGGGCCUACUCCUGUUUGAAACAGUUAUGUCAGUAACUUCAGUUACUAUCAGAUCAAAAUCCAGAUAAUGUCCACUAAAAUAAAAACCUCUGGGUGCUCAGCACACACUCAGAAGAUUAGAUAGCUGUGGAUACCCUCUUCAUCAUGCUAUUUUUCCAGGACACAUGAGAAUAAAGAGAUCUUUAUCUUCAAGAAAGUUUCAUAAUGAAGGUACCUAUCAUCCUAGGUAAAGAAA